GACGAACGCUGGCGGCGUGCCUAAUACAUGCAAGUUGAGCGCUGAAGGUUGGUACUUGUACCAACUGGAUGAGCAGCGAACGGGUGAGUAACGCGUGGGGAAUCUGCCUUUGAGCGGGGGACAACAUUUGGAAACGACUGCUAAUACCGCAUAAAAACUUUAAACACAAGUUUUAAGUUUGAAAGAUGCAAUUGCAUCACUCAAAGAUGAUCCCGCGUUGUAUUAGCUAGUUGGUGAGGUAAAGGCUCACCAAGGCGAUGAUACAUAGCCGACCUGAGAGGGUGAUCGGCCACAUUGGGAAUGAGACACGGCCCAAACUCCUACGGGAGGCAGCAGUAGGGAAUCUUCGGCAAUGGACGAAAGGCUGACCGAGCAACGCCGCGUGAGGGAAGAAGGUUUUCGGAGCGUAAAACUCUGUUGGUAGAGAAGAAAGUUGGGGAGAGUGGAAAGCUCAUCAAGUGACGGUAACUACCCAGAAAGGGACGGCUAACUACGUG
RNAcentral lists this ribosomal RNA (497 nucleotides) under uncultured bacterium. RNAcentral describes it as "partial 16S ribosomal RNA". It matches the Rfam family "Bacterial small subunit ribosomal RNA", at positions 28 to 507 of the family's 1533-position model. The record is from RNAcentral.